Molecule: ribosomal RNA, 501 nt
Filed under: uncultured bacterium
Lineage: Bacteria
Description: partial 16S ribosomal RNA
Rfam family: Bacterial small subunit ribosomal RNA
Source: RNAcentral
AUUGAACGCUGGCGGCAGGCUUAACACAUGCAAGUCGAGCGGAGAUGAGGUGCUUGCACCUUAUCUUAGCGGCGGACGGGUGAGUAAUGCUUAGGAAUCUGCCUAUUAGUGGGGGACAACAUUCCGAAAGGAAUGCUAAUACCGCAUACGUUCUACGGGAGAAAGCAGGGGAUCUUCGGACCUUGCGCUAAUAGAUGAGCCUAAGUCGGAUUAGCUAGUUGGUGGGGUAAAGGCCUACCAAGGCGACGAUCUGUAGCGGGUCUGAGAGGAUGAUCCGCCACACUGGGACUGAGACACGGCCCAGACUCCUACGGGAGGCAGCAGUGGGGAAUAUUGGACAAUGGGGGAAACCCUGAUCCAGCCAUGCCGCGUGUGUGAAGAAGGCCUUAUGGUUGUAAAGCACUUUAGGCGAGGAGGAGGCUACUGAGACUAAUACUCUUGGAUAGUGGACGUUACUCGCAGAAUAAGCACCGGCUAACUCUGUGCCAGCCGCCGCCGUAA